Molecule: transfer RNA, 84 nt
Filed under: Bacteroidota bacterium
Lineage: Bacteria; Pseudomonadati; Bacteroidota
Description: Bacteroidetes bacterium (activated sludge metagenome) tRNA-Leu
Rfam family: tRNA
About the family: Transfer RNA (tRNA) molecules are approximately 80 nucleotides in length. Their secondary structure includes four short double-helical elements and three loops (D, anti-codon, and T loops).
Source: RNAcentral
GCCCCGGUGGUGGAAUUGGUAGACACGCAGGACUUAAAAUCCUGUGUCUUCGCGGACGUACGGGUUCAAGUCCCGUCUGGGAGA